UAUGGCUCAGCAGGUAGAUUACGAGACUCUUAAUCUCAGGGUUGUGGGUUUGAGUCCCACACUGGGCAAAA
Podarcis lilfordi (Lilford's wall lizard) is the source of this 71-nucleotide non-coding RNA. Lineage: Eukaryota; Metazoa; Chordata; Lepidosauria; Squamata; Lacertidae. The record is from the annotation of a GenBank genome assembly.